GGGCUUGUAGCUCAGUGGUAGUAGCGCUCGCUUUGCAUGCGAGAGGUCCGGGGUUCAAUCCCCCGUGAGUCCA
This is a non-coding RNA of Aspergillus lentulus, 73 nucleotides long. The record is from the annotation of a RefSeq genome assembly. NCBI's taxonomy places the organism in Eukaryota, Fungi, Ascomycota, Eurotiomycetes, Eurotiales, Aspergillaceae.